RNAcentral lists this ribosomal RNA (301 nucleotides) under uncultured bacterium. Its description in RNAcentral is "partial 16S ribosomal RNA". It matches the Rfam family "Bacterial small subunit ribosomal RNA", at positions 509 to 809 of the family's 1533-position model. The record is from RNAcentral.
CAGCAGCCGCGGUAAUACGGAGGAUCCAAGCGUUAUCCGGAAUCAUUGGGUUUAAAGGGUCCGUAGGCGGUCUUGUAAGUCAGUGGUGAAAGCCCAUCGCUCAACGGUGGAACGGCCAUUGAUACUGCAGGACUUGAAUUAUUGGGAAGUAACUAGAAUAUGUAGUGUAGCGGUGAAAUGCUUAGAGAUUACAUGGAAUACCAAUUGCGAAGGCAGGUUACUACCAAUUGAUUGACGCUGAUGGACGAAAGCGUGGGUAGCGAACAGGAUUAGAGACCCCUGUAGUCCCUGUCUCUUAUAA